This 257-nucleotide long non-coding RNA is filed under the name Homo sapiens (human). RNAcentral describes it as "HSALNT0178180". The record is from RNAcentral. Lineage: Eukaryota; Metazoa; Chordata; Mammalia; Primates; Hominidae.
CAAUACUUUAUAGGGUUAUAGUAAGGUUUUUAGCAUAGUGCCUGAAACAUGGUAAGCAAUAUCUCUAAGACUGCUUUAGAAUAGGAGAAAGAGCAGCAACUCUGUUGAAACUGGAAAAAGUCCUUCAAGGGAUUACUGGGCUAUUCAUGUUUGCAAAUCAAAAGAAUUCCUUUUCAGUCCAUGCAAAGUUAAAGAUGCACAAUAAAGAAUACUCCAAAAGGUCCUAUUUACUUGAAUGACAUGUAAAACUGGUGGAG